GUGCUUGCUAUAGUGGCACAUAUACUAAAAUUGGGUCGAUACAGAGAAGAUUAGCAUGGCCCCUGUGAAAAGGA
Molecule: small nuclear RNA, 74 nt
Organism: Danio rerio (zebrafish)
Lineage: Eukaryota; Metazoa; Chordata; Actinopteri; Cypriniformes; Danionidae
Source: Ensembl